Triticum urartu is the source of this 2441-nucleotide non-coding RNA. Lineage: Eukaryota; Viridiplantae; Streptophyta; Magnoliopsida; Poales; Poaceae. The record is from RefSeq and is a predicted model, not a curated record.
GGCUCGCGUCCGUCCGUGAAAACUGUGCGGUGGAUCAGCAUGGGUACAUGCCGUUAGCUUGCAAGGCAGCGCCGUCAUGAUUCAGUAAUUAUUGUCAGACGCUAGUGUGGCGUCGGUGUGGGGCAUCUAAAAUAUCUCGGCCCCCUCGUCAGUUCGACGUUUUUCCAUUCCCUCCUCCCAGCUCGUCGUGAAAAAAUGGCGGCGGCGAGCAGUAUGGGCGAUGGUUCUGGCCUGCCUCGCCUGCUCGACAACGGACUCGAGUUUCUGCUGUAUCCAGUUGACAAGGAGGUGGUCGCGGGGCCAGAUCCGUUGGUGAUGAGGGGUGUCGUGCCGGCGGACACGACCGAAGCCCACUCCUCAUGCGCGGUUGUGGUUGGACACCACGGCGGCGCUGCUGAGCGCGGGAAUUCCGGCGGAGUCGACAACCCAGUCCGUGGAAUCGACCGGGAAGGUGAACCCCAAAGGCGUCGGUGUGGACCAGAAGGUAAAAACUAAAAUUAGUGUUCUGUCUGACGGUUUAGAGUUGGCCGUGCACCUCCGGAUAGAGCAGUUUUCCCUGGUAGAGUCACUCCGCUGGAAGAAACGAUCAGAGGUAGCUAGAGAUUGGGAUGAGUUUUGACUCCCUGGUGGAAGCCUACAAUUUCUAUAACCAGUAUUCUUGGGAGCUAUUGGAUUUGUUAUAAGAUAUGGCAAGAGUCGUCUGGACACCAAGCGGACAAAGUGUAUGCAGGAGAUCAUUUGUGGAUGAUCUGUUAGCACUCAAAUACAGAAAAUCACAAGCAUAGUUUUUGUGUGGCUUGCACUGAGUUUCACUUCUAAGCUGAACAAAAAAUUAUUUUCAUUUGCAGGGUAGCCCGAGCAGUAACAACCACUAUUGCUAAUGCGAGUGCCCUGUAAUGAUCAGAUUUCUUAGAGUUACGGACAAUGGAUGGUUUCAUCGCUGAGCACCGGGCAAAGCCACAACCGUUCAUUAUCCCUUGCUUGCGGUGAAAAGGUUCAUUGGCCAUCGCACAACCAAAUAUAUGGGUACGCAAAAGAUUAGGUGAACCAGCUUAGGAGGAACAAUGUGAACCUCAACAAGGUGUACAACAUAGUUGGCAACUUCUUCGGUUCAUCUCAGAAAGGGCAAGGGGUUACUCCGGAAUCUUUGUGGCCAAAUAAGGCGGGACCAGGCUAACGAUGAUAUGAACAAGACUCUUGUAGUCUUGCGUGUUCAAAAAUGUACAGCAUAACGACCUAGAGUUUUCCAAGGGGAUGAGGAUAGCAGAAUCAAGAAGCUGAUGCGGACAAAUGGAAACAACAAGUGCAGUACAAAUUUUUCGGUGAUGUCAUCACAUUCAACAUAACGUAUCGGACUAAUCUGUAUGACAUGCCUUUUGGGUUGUUAGUUGGUGUAAUCACUUCCAGAGCGUUAUCCUAGCUGGUGUCUUGAUGCGUGACGAGCAAGUCGAGAGUUUCCAGUGUGUACACAUAUAUGUGGUCUGAGAUGCUAAAAGUGUAUUUCUUUUGUGCAUUACAGAGCGGUGCCCUAAUGAGGACAAACGUUGUGAUUGAGAGACAUGAGUAAGGUUUACAAGAGGAAAAUGUUUGAACAAUUUGGUGAGAACCUUUUCUAAGAUGGGGCUUACCAGGUGGAGGAGGUAGAAGAAAUACAUUGCAAGGCACAAUGACGCCGAAAAACGUGAGAAGUGCAGCAAGGUGGUAUACAAGGUGACCAUGUCAGAUGAUGGCAAGUUGUUUGAAUGUGAGUGCAGAUAAUUUGCCCACAUGAGGAUGCUGUGCUGCCAUGCUUUGAAGGUGAUGAAUUACGGCGUGAAGGAAAUAAUCAUGGAGGCAUUAUCGCUGGCUGAAUCAAGGGAUGGGCUAGGCUUUGAGGGCAGGCAAGCUGCUGAGUCAAAUCGAAUAGCAUUGGAUCGGCGGGUGCAAUCAUCAACGUCGAGGGAGAAAUGUUUGACAAUGAGAACAGCAUGACCCUUUCUGGCAAUUGGGAUGCAUUCGCUGGACUGUUGGCUUCGAGCAAGAAACAUGGUGCCGGGUGACCAUGCUCAAGCAGAGAAAAGGUGCCAUAUGAGGGGUCGACCAAGUGGACGAGGUUCUGCAGCAUCUCCAAACUAACAGGUCAUAAGAAGACCACCUUCCCAUCCAUUGAUGUGCCAAAGCAGCCUUGCAAGCCUGCAACCUCCAAGAAUUGUGGCAUUGUAGGCCGCUGUCGCACCUCGUAAACCAGGCCGCUUGGUGCCAAUGUAUCUUAAAGACUUCCGACAAGCAUGUUUUCGAGGAUUUUCUAGUGCGUGAUUUAUAGUUUGAUACCAUGCUUUGUUCCUCCUGAGUGUAAACUAGUUGCAUUUCAAACGAUGCUGAGCCGUUUUCAUGUGGUAGUUGGUUUCCUUGACACUGAUAUCAACUGCUGACAAAUACGAAUGGGUGAUCUAAUUUUUUAC